GAGCGCAAUCUCUCUGUAAAUGCCAUGUCUAUAGGUCUCUGUGUUUCACUCUCUCUUUGUGUAUGAACCUCUCUUUUGUUUGAGCACCUCCAUAGCACUUUGUCAUCACCUGUUGGGAGUAGUCGGCCUCUGACACUUUAGGGUGACCCUCAUUGUCACUGCUUGUAAAGUUGAAAGACAGAUCUAGGCUUCCUCCUCUGCGGAUGUGAUUCUGAACUCUUGCAGGGCUGGACAGGGUGAGCAACACAGAUCUACAGACCUUUAGAGAACCACAAGGUGAGUGGACUUCUGUACACAUUGAAGAGACCUUUCUGUCUGUAAUAUUAAUCACAAUGCAGUAAUUCCAGGAAUUCUUGAUGCAGUACCAUAGUGCCAGACAGUGAUCAAUGUUGAUUUGUCACCUUGUCCCUUUGAACACACACCUGCUAACUAACUU
Oncorhynchus kisutch (coho salmon) is the source of this 436-nucleotide long non-coding RNA. RefSeq lists it as uncharacterized. NCBI's taxonomy places the organism in Eukaryota, Metazoa, Chordata, Actinopteri, Salmoniformes, Salmonidae. The transcript is spliced from 3 exons. The record is from RefSeq and is a predicted model, not a curated record.